This 501-nucleotide ribosomal RNA is filed under the name uncultured bacterium. Its description in RNAcentral is "partial 16S ribosomal RNA". It matches the Rfam family "Bacterial small subunit ribosomal RNA", at positions 30 to 523 of the family's 1533-position model. The record is from RNAcentral.
AUUGAACGCUGGCGGCAGGCUUAACACAUGCAAGUCGAGCGGAGAGAGGUAGCUUGCUACUGAUCUUAGCGGCGGACGGGUGAGUAAUGCUUAGGAAUCUGCCUAUUAGUGGGGGACAACAUUUCGAAAGGAAUGCUAAUACCGCAUACGUCCUACGGGAGAAAGCAGGGGAUCUUCGGACCUUGCGCUAAUAGAUGAGCCUAGGUCGGAUUAGCUAGUUGGUGGGGUAAAGGCCUACCAAGGCGACGAUCUGUAGCGGGUCUGAGAGGAUGAUCCGCCACACUGGGACUGAGACACGGCCCAGACUCCUACGGGAGGCAGCAGUGGGGAAUAUUGGACAAUGGGCGGAAGCCUGAUCCAGCCAUGCCGCGUAUGUGAAGAAGGCCUUAUGGUUGUAAAGCACUUUAAGCGAGGAGGAGGCUACUUUAGUUAAUACCUAGAGAUAGCGGACGUUACUCGCAGAAUAAGCACCGGCUAACUCUGUGCCAGCAGCCGCGGUAA